CCCUUAGAUGUUCUGGGCCGCACACGCGCUACACUGAAGGAGGCAGCGUGUACUCCUGGAUCGAAAGAUUUGGGUAACCGGCGAAUCUCCUUCGUGCUAGGGAUUGAGGUUUGCAAUUAUCCUUCAUGAACGAGGAAUUCCCAGUAAGUGCAAGUCAUAAGCUUGCGCUGACUACGUCCCUGCCCUUUGUACACACCGCCCGUCGCUACUACCGAUUGAAUGAUUUAGUGAGGACUUCGGACUGGGACCGAUGCGGCUUUCGGGCUGCGUCGGUAUUCUGGAAAGAUGUCCAAACUGUAUCAUUUAGAGGAAGUAAAAGUCGUAACA
RNAcentral lists this ribosomal RNA (327 nucleotides) under uncultured eukaryote. RNAcentral's name for it is "partial 18S ribosomal RNA". It matches the Rfam family "Eukaryotic small subunit ribosomal RNA", at positions 1470 to 1796 of the family's 1831-position model. The record is from RNAcentral.